AAAACCAACACUCUUAUGUACAUCUAUAAUGACUCAGUCAUACAUGUACAUAUACAAACCAUGCUAAAAAGGUUGGUUUCUACUCAAUUAGAUUCUACAACAAUAGUCAUCAGGAUCAUACUCUGGAUCAUCCUCGGGGUUCUCCUUCAGAUACUCCUCUUCGAGUUCUUUCUCCUCAGGUUCUUCAUUAGGGCCCUGAAAUGUUUCCCCAAACCGGGAUGAGACUACGUCUCAGCAAGUUCUACCCCCUAAGACCCGAUUAG
This 263-nucleotide long non-coding RNA is filed under the name Eucalyptus grandis. RNAcentral describes it as "long non-coding RNA (EGRA_LNC005335)". The record is from RNAcentral. Lineage: Eukaryota; Viridiplantae; Streptophyta; Magnoliopsida; Myrtales; Myrtaceae.